AGCGAACGCUGGCGGCAGGCCUAACACAUGCAAGUCGAACGAACCUUUCGGGGUUAGUGGCGGACGGGUGAGUAACACGUGGGAACGUGCCUUUAGGUUCGGAAUAACUCAGGGAAACUUGUGCUAAUACCGAAUGUGCCCUUCGGGGGAAAGAUUUAUCGGCUUUAGAGCGGCCCGCGUCUGCUUAGCUAGUUGGUUGAGGUAAUGGCUCACCAAGGCGACGAUCAGUAGCUGGUCUGAGAGGAUGAUCAGCCACAUUGGGACUGAGACACGGCCCAAACUCCUACGGGAGGCAGCAGUGGGGAAUCUUGCGAAAUGGGCGAAAGCCUGACGCAGCCAUGCCGCGUGAAUGAUGAAGGUCUUAGGAUUGUAAAAUUCUUUCACCGGGGACGAUAAUGACGGUACCCGGAGAAGAAGCCCCGGCUAACUUCGUG
This 434-nucleotide ribosomal RNA is filed under the name uncultured bacterium. RNAcentral describes it as "partial 16S ribosomal RNA". It matches the Rfam family "Bacterial small subunit ribosomal RNA", at positions 29 to 507 of the family's 1533-position model. The record is from RNAcentral.